GAUGAACGCUAGCGGCAGGCUUAAUACAUGCAAGUCGAGGGGCAGCACGGUUAGCAAUAACUGGUGGCGACCGGCGCACGGGUGCGUAACACGUAUACAAUCUACCUUAAACAGGGGGAUAGCCUUUCGAAAGAGAGAUUAAUACCCGUAAUAAAUUGAACGGCAUCGUUUGAUUUUGAAAGCUCCGGCGGUUUGAGAUGAGUAUGCGUCUGAUUAGCUAGUUGGUGAGGUAACGGCUCACCAAGGCGACGAUCAGUAGGGGAUCUGAGAGGACUAACCCCCACACUGGUACUGAGACACGGACCAGACUCCUACGGGAGGCAGCAGUAAAGGAAUAUUGGUCAAUGGAGGCAACUCUGAACCAGCCAUGCCGCGUGCAGGAUGACGGCCCUAUGGGUUGUAAACUGCUUUUAUACAAGAGAAAACCCUGGUACGUGUACCAGGUUGAUAGUAUUGUAAGAAUAAGCAUCGGCUAAACUUCGUGCCAGCAGCCGCGGUAAU
RNAcentral lists this ribosomal RNA (501 nucleotides) under uncultured bacterium. RNAcentral describes it as "bacterial SSU rRNA". It matches the Rfam family "Bacterial small subunit ribosomal RNA", at positions 28 to 524 of the family's 1533-position model. The record is from RNAcentral.